GGUAACAGGAAGCAGCUUGCUGCUUUGCUGACGAGUGGCGGACGGGUGAGUAAUGUCUGGGAAACUGCCUGAUGGAGGGGGAUAACUACUGGAAACGGUAGCUAAUACCGCAUAACGUCGCAAGACCAAAGAGGGGGACCUUCGGGCCUCUUGCCAUCGGAUGUGCCCAGAUGGGAUUAGCUAGUAGGUGGGGUAACGGCUCACCUAGGCGACGAUCCCUAGCUGGUCUGAGAGGAUGACCAGCCACACUGGAACUGAGACACGGUCCAGACUCCUACGGGAGGCAGCAGUGGGGAAUAUUGCACAAUGGGCGCAAGCCUGAUGCAGCCAUGCCGCGUGUAUGAAGAAGGCCUUCGGGUUGUAAAGUACUUUCAGCGGGGAGGAAGGUGUUGAGGUUAAUAACCUCAGCAAUUGACGUUACCCGCAGAAGAAGCACCGGCUAACUCCGUGCCAGCAGCCGCGGUAAUACGGAGGGUGCAAGCGUUAAUCGGAAUUACUGGGCGUAAAGCGCACGCAGGCGGUCUGUCAAGUCGGAUGUGAAAUCCCCGGGCUCAACCUGGGAACUGCAUUCGAAACUGGCAGGCUAGAGUCUUGUAGAGGGGGGUAGAAUUCCAGGUGUAGCGGUGAAAUGCGUAGAGAUCUGGAGGAAUACCGGUGGCG
RNAcentral lists this ribosomal RNA (660 nucleotides) under uncultured Enterobacter sp. RNAcentral's name for it is "bacterial SSU rRNA". It matches the Rfam family "Bacterial small subunit ribosomal RNA", at positions 68 to 717 of the family's 1533-position model. Lineage: Bacteria; Pseudomonadati; Pseudomonadota; Gammaproteobacteria; Enterobacterales; Enterobacteriaceae. The record is from RNAcentral.